This is a long non-coding RNA of Dicentrarchus labrax (European seabass), 2371 nucleotides long. RefSeq lists it as uncharacterized. The record is from RefSeq and is a predicted model, not a curated record. NCBI's taxonomy places the organism in Eukaryota, Metazoa, Chordata, Actinopteri, Moronidae. The transcript is spliced from 3 exons.
GUAGAGGAUGACGCUUUGCUUUGAUUGCUGCAUGGCUGCAGGCAUUCCCGGGGCAGAGUAGCUGUGGAGCUUCAGUCUGCUGGAUGUAGUGGUAAAUAAUCCCGACUGGGGAGAGAGGAACAGAGAGACACUCUGGAGGGGAAGAAGGAAGGAAGGGAGUGGAUAUGUGUGCAUGGGUAGGAAUAUUGUGUGUCUGUGUUUGGGGAUUUUGGGUUGGAAGGGAAAUAUAAUCACUAAUUUACUUUUUGGAUGGGUGAGCAUUGUUGGCCGUAUUUUAAUAGAAGAAAUGAAGUUUGAGCUACAGUACCUCGUCUGUUGGAUUGGACACGAGGAGCCAGCCUUUGCUCUCCACUGAGCUAUCAUGGGAGAAUGAACAGCAGAACCAGAGCCAGGCGAACUGGGUUCACAGCCUCCGAGACCGACAGAGGCCAGAUGAUAUACAACAGUUCCGACCAGGACUCUGACUCCAGGCAGGAUGACAGCACAGUGGGUUCAGCCAGGGAUGGGGAAAAGCAUCAAAUUGGCACAUCUGAAGCUGAAACGAGAACGUUUGCCCUUAAUUAUCAGAGUUGGUCGGAAUUCUGUUAUCAGAAUUGUUCUAAUUAUCAAAUCUCCCUUGCUGUGGAAAUGAUUGACACUACACAGCAUAUUCUACCACUGCAUCUCCACAGACUGAGAUUCAAAGAAACCCAGGAGCCACAACUCUGCUUCAUCAGGGGCAGAAAAGGUCAUUGGAAACAACACCAGAGGCUUUUCUAGGUAACAGUUUCACUUUCUUCCACCUCUCUGCCAUCCUUCGAUUUUGUGUGAGAAAGACAUCCAUGGCUACUUUGUGACUGUUUGGAGCUACCUGUCUUCCACCCAUUCACCCUGGGAUUUCCCCAGACUGAUUUUUGGUCCUGGGACAUCACCUCUUACCCCCUCUACACUUAGUUUUACAGUUUUCUUCUUGUUCAUUGUUAAGUGUUUCUCAGUAGCCUAUGAGAGGUUGUUUUUACUGGAAUUAUGAAUUAGUAUUGUUAUUAUUAUUAAUUCUUGAUCUGCUCAUUGGCAUGUAUGAACACACAGUUCAUGCAUUGGGUUAGCAAUUAUUAUGAAAUCUGAUUAUAAAUUAUUUGAAUUCUGUUGAGGAAAAAUUGACUCAGCUGGUAACAUUAUGACUAUGCGGAAGUCAGAGUAACUCUUAAGGGGCCAUGAUGGUCAGUACUGCUUGUCAGGUUAUCAAAUAGCUUUUACUCUGCCUUCAAGUGGGAACAACUAUAAACACUUUCGAUUUCUGACAUGGUCAGACAGCACGUAUUAUGAAUUACUUCACAUCAAGCAUAUCCCAAUUCUUGGGUGCCUGAAGUCUUAAAUGCACAAUUUUUAAAUCACUGAGGUGGGAGAAUGACUUCCAACCAACUGAACUGAAUCUUGAACCUGAAUCUACAGUAUUUAAUUAGCUGGUGCAGCUAUCAAGGGCGUUUACACUUUCUCAUCCCUUGAGCAGUAAAAAGGAGCAACUACUAGAUUACCUUUUGACUGGGAAAAAAAAUCCUGCUUCCAACUGGAAAAAAAAAAAAUAAUAUCAUUGUAUAUUUGAUUUUAUGGUUGUACCACGGUAUGUCAUUCUUGCCAAAUACACCUGGCUAUGCAUUCAUGGGAUAUGAAUAUUUAAUUAUAUUACUGCAUAUUAUCUGCAUAUUUAGGCUUCUUCAUAAUGCUUUUUCCACCUCUUGAUGUCAAUAGAUUAAAUUUCACAUGUGCACACAUCUACCCAUAUACCAUGUUCUUGGAUCUCAAGACCAGCUCGCCACUGUGAAGCAGUACAUCCACAUCUGUCUUACUGAUUAAACAUUCCUUUGUUGAAGCUACAUGCUCUCUUUGUCUGUAUUCAUGCUGUUCUGUAUUCCAUAUCUGUAAUCUGCCCUCCACUGCUGUCACAAGCCAUUUUCCCCAUAGGGACUAUUAAUGUGUGAAUGUUAUUGUCCUGGCUUCUGUUCAGCUCAUCCACUCGCAGCUGCCUUUGCCACCUGAUGAUCAAGAAAUCCGCAAACAGUGGUUUUACAGGCAACUGUAAAAGUAGUACAUUUAUCAUGCGUUAGGCAGUGCUAAUCUAGGAGAGAUGUGAUCAGUGCUGUAUAAAGUCUGGUGUGGAAUACUUACAUGGUCAUUAUUUCUUGAAUAUAGAAGAGCCAAACGUGACUUCAGUAUCUCAUGUAAUGUAGUAAACAUUACUCAGUAUAAAACCAGAUGUUUGUGAGGAGAUGUAACGCAAUACAUCAGACAGCAUGCAGUAAAAUGGCUUCUAAGGUAAAACAGUGUGCACAAAAUGUCCAUUCAUGCUGUACAAUUAAUUUUCUCUGUAAAAGUAAAAUUACUCUAAGCAACA